This 962-nucleotide long non-coding RNA is filed under the name Mus musculus (house mouse). RNAcentral's name for it is "long non-coding RNA chr4:16000512-16001474". The record is from RNAcentral. Lineage: Eukaryota; Metazoa; Chordata; Mammalia; Rodentia; Muridae.
AGAAGAGAAGAGAAGAGAAGAGAAGAGAAGAGAAGAGAAGAGAAGAGAAGAGAAGAGAAGAAAAGAGAAGAAAAGAGAAGAAAAGAGAAGAAAAGAGAAGAAAAGAGAAGAGAAAAAAGGAACGAGAAUAAGAAAGAGUAAGACAGAAGGAAGGAAGAUUUGGGGCUGAAGAAAUGGCUUAGCAGUGGAGUACUGAUGCUCAGAGUCCAGAAGACUCUGCAUUACAUGACAGUUCACAACUGUCCAUAACUCUAGUUCCAGGAGGACACCCUCACACCGACAUAGGUAGAUAAAACACCAAUGCACAUAAAAUAGAAAUAAAUGAAUCGUCAGAGCUCCACCUGCCUGCCUCUAUCUCCUAAAUGCUGGGAUUAACUGUGCACACCACCAGGAUGAUCUAGAUCUAAGACUGAUGUUCUUAAAUCUUUUAAAAUUAAGGGAAACUUCUAUGGAUUAAGCAUGGUUGCUACCUAGCAUGAUGUCAAUUACACAAACUCCAUCUCUAUUCUAACAAAGAUUAAGUUCCUGCUUUGACAUACUGCCAUUAGUGGUAAAAUUAGAUUCUCUGUAUUAGUUAUUCAAAUCUGGUUUGUACAUGAACCUGAAAAUGAUAGGGAUUUUUACAUUUCUCCUUUUGAACUUUAUAUACCUUCCCCCAAAAUAAGACCUGUAUUCUUCCAAUGAGAAAUUACUCAGUCCUACUUAAGGUACUAAUAAUUAAAUAUUGACCUUCAUGUCCAUGGUAGCAAGCCCAUGUUUUAGUUUAUCAUUCUAAGUGACAAAUCAUAAUAAGUGUAUUAUUACCCUUCAAAAAUAACCACUGUGUUGGGUGUGGUGGUAUGCACCUUUAAUUCCAGCAGAUUUAAUCCUGGCAGAGGCAGACAGAUCUCUGUGAGUUCAAGGCCAGCCUGAUCUUCACAGUGAGUUCUAGAGCUGCCAAGGCUAUGUAAAGAGUCUCUGUC